This 253-nucleotide ribosomal RNA is filed under the name uncultured bacterium. Its description in RNAcentral is "partial 16S ribosomal RNA". It matches the Rfam family "Bacterial small subunit ribosomal RNA", at positions 524 to 776 of the family's 1533-position model. The record is from RNAcentral.
UACGGAGGAGGCAAGCGUUAUCCGGAAUUAUUGGGCGUAAAGAGUCCGUAGGUGGGUAACCAAGUCAGUUGUUAAAUAGUGAAGCUUAACUUCAUAGAGGCGACUGAAACUGGUUGUCUAGAGUGUGGUAGGGGUAGAGGGAAUUUCCAGUGUAGCGGUGAAAUGCGUAGAUAUUGGAAAGAACACCGGUGGCGAAAGCGCUCUACUGGGCCUGCACUGACACUGAGGGACGAAAGCUAGGGGAGCGAAAGGG